AUGUGCAGCAAGCUGAUGUUCCCUUUCAGGAACACCCACUGCAUGCUAGCAAAGCAGCCAUUUGUCUGUUGUGACUAUGACCCAGACACUGUAUCAGUCUUCAGUACUGGACUCCUCCAUCACCAGAGCCUGGAUGCAGAAACCUCUGAAAAAUUCAGCCACACAGCAACACAACAGGAACAAGAUAACAUGAAAUGUGCUGGGUUGCAGAUGCUGUGGGUUAAUUUCCCAGAUUACUACCACGUGUGGUGGCUAGAGGUAACACAAGCAAAUGCCUCUCACGGGCAUCUGCCCUAUCGCUCAGGCUGGUGGCUCCAGACCGAUGGCAGAAGGUAGCUAUGACUACCAUGAGGCAGAGGGUAAGUGUGUCUGGCCAAGGGUGACAGUACACAGCCUGUCAAGUCUUCUCCUGUAACUGCUCCGUCACAUGUUUCCACUCCACAUUUCUGCUCAAGGAAAAAUCUGACAUGGCAAUGGGCAGUGUUAAGUGUUAUUAGAGCAGUUAAUGCAUUGAAAAACUACUCCUGAGGUUCCCUUCUGAUGUCUUCCCUGUGUUGUAGCAUCUUGUUCAGUGCUUACUGACACUUGCAGAUUUUAGAAAAUUAUGCAGUAAUUACAGUGUAUUAUCAUUAUCUUUAAUUCUGAUAUGUGGCUUAUCAUAAAACUCCUCUUAAACAAUUUCUUGUUUUUCCUGAAGUGUGGCUGCAAAUGACAUCAUUUGUGUGUGAACUUCAGCUGGAUAUGGUAACACCUUGUAAAAUACUUUAACAAGACAGAAAUGCUUAAAUAAAGUUUGGGUUUGGUUUCA
This 808-nucleotide long non-coding RNA is filed under the name Anas platyrhynchos platyrhynchos (common mallard). RNAcentral describes it as "lncRNA (ENSAPLG00000017658.1)". The record is from RNAcentral. Lineage: Eukaryota; Metazoa; Chordata; Aves; Anseriformes; Anatidae.